GACGAACGCUGGCGGCGUGCUUAACACAUGCAAGUCGAACGAUGAAGCCUUUCGGGGUGGAUUAGUGGCGAACGGGUGAGUAACACGUGGGUAAUCUGCCUUGCACUCUGGGAUAAGCCUGGGAAACGUGGGUCUAAUACCGGAUAUGACUACUUCACGCAUGGUGGGGUGGUGGAAAGUUCUGGCGGUGUGAGAUGAACCCGCGGCCUAUCAGCUUGUUGGUGGGGUG
This 229-nucleotide ribosomal RNA is filed under the name uncultured bacterium. RNAcentral describes it as "partial 16S ribosomal RNA". It matches the Rfam family "Bacterial small subunit ribosomal RNA", at positions 28 to 259 of the family's 1533-position model. The record is from RNAcentral.